Molecule: long non-coding RNA, 1635 nt
Organism: Acanthopagrus latus (yellowfin seabream)
Lineage: Eukaryota; Metazoa; Chordata; Actinopteri; Spariformes; Sparidae
Exons: 3
Source: RefSeq, a predicted model, not a curated record
AUUUAGUCUCUGUGUUCCCCUCACUCCCGGUCUGGUCAUCGUUUGUCUUGGGCUGUUCCUGCUCCCUGUUUGCUCCUAGCACCUCAUCUCGUCCCCUUCAGACCAGACUGAGGGCAGAGCAGAGCUCCUGCAGCAGGUCCACGUUCAGAAAAUCCCUGACAUGAAGUGGGAGAAGUUCUGAAUUCUGGGUGAGUUCUGCAACCAAAGCUUGGCCCUUCUGAUCUGUUAAUUUGUUUAAAGAUAUUUAAACCAAACAGACAUAUGGACAGGUGCUGUUGCUUCCUACCGUCCCUGUGCCGACUGUGAAUAUCCACGAAAGUAUUGGAAGCGUCCGUAUAAAUAGAGCAGCCCACAGACUGCAGACAGACCUGAAACAAAUCAAACAUGAGCUGAAUGAUACAAACUCAGGACUGUGACUGAGACUCAAUCAGCUGUUUGUGUCUGAUCACCUUGACUGAAGAAGACUCCAGAUGUCCACAGGACGGUGAUGAAGAUCGGGAAAUACUCAGAACAGUUGGCUCUGAACAUGAUGAAGGUUUUAAACAAUUAUUGAUCAUAUCUCAAGUGAUGGAGGAAGUAUUUAGAUUAUUAACUUCAGUAAGGUACCAAGACUGUGAUGUAAGAAUACUUGUUGUGCAGGAGAAAUAACAAAAUAAAAGCACAGCAAGUUUAGCAGCAAAAAUGUACUUUAAGUAUUAAAGUUAAAAUAAAAGAUAUGUUAUUGCACUUAAAUUGUUCAGAAAACAUUUGACUGAAUCAUUUUUUAUUAAAUUUCACAGUGAGGAAGUUUAGUAUCCAACCAGACUUCAGUCAUCUUUUUUCCAAUUUAACCACUUCGCAGUGAGACAGUCCCCUCUCAUUUUCCCAGCAUGCUUUCUUAUUGUGUCUCAGAUUUGAUUUCUGUCUUUUUAAGUCUUUUAAGUGCUGAAAAAAAAUGACAAUUUGAAAAUGCAUGUUUUUGAGACGAGUGAUUGAACUGUUUAGAGCAGCUUGAGUCUAUGAAAAUGAUGCCAAGUGCUGCUUUCACUUUCAUUUUCAUAUUAUUACAACAAUUGUCUUUUUAUUUUUUAUUUCUUUAGAAAAGUGCGCUGACACAUAAAUGUAAAGACCGGCAGAGAGCUGUGUUGCUUAUUUCAUUUGAACAUCGUCCACUGUGAGCUGGUCGAGUCUCUGAAAAUGAAAUGCGCAAAGCUAUUUUCACUCUUAUUUCACUCUGCAUUUUCAUUUUUACUGCAACUCAAACAAUGUCUUCUCAAAGGAAAAUUAGCCUCAUUGUUUACACUGCAUUCAAAUGAUGUCUUAUUAUGGAAAAGCAGAUGCAGUAAUGAGGACGCUGCUUUGUUUAUGUCAUUUGAAUACUGUCCACCACACACAGCAUGUUCACUCUGAAAAUGAAACAUCUUUUCCAUUUUCAUUUUAAUAUCGCCACAGAACGCUGAUUCAAGUGUGAAAAUGAAAAUGCUUAUUGGGUUAUUGCAUUUUAUCUUUUUUCUCAAAUACACGUGGACAAUCAUAAUGCUUUUGCUGAAUUAGAUUUUAAUUUUCAAGUUUAUCUUUGUAUCAUCUUAAUAAAGUCUCUCACAGGCUUCCACAAAAUUCCAGCCGUUGACAUCAAGUGAGGCACUAAAUAAACCU